AAUGAACGCUGGCGGCAUGCCUUACACAUGCAAGUCGAACGGCAGCAUGACCUAGCUUGCUAGGUUGAUGGCGAGUGGCGAACGGGUGAGUAAUGCAUCGGAACGUGCCUUUUAGUGGGGGAUAACGUAGCGAAAGUUACGCUAAUACCGCAUAUUCUCUGAGGAGGAAAGCAGGGGACCUUCGGGCCUUGCGCUAGAAGAGCGGCCGAUGUCGGAUUAGCUAGUUGGUGAGGUAAAGGCUCACCAAGGCAACGAUCCGUAGCGGGUCUGAGAGGAUGAUCCGCCACACUGGGACUGAGACACGGCCCAGACUCCUACGAGAGGCAGCAGUGGGGAAUUUUGGACAAUGGGCGCAAGCCUGAUCCAGCCAUGCCGCGUGAGUGAAGAAGGCCUUCGGGUUGUAAAGCUCUUUCGGCUGGGAAGAAAUCGCACCCUCUAAUACAGGGUGUGGAUGACGGUACCAGCAUAAGAAGCACCGGCUAACUACGUG
This 490-nucleotide ribosomal RNA is filed under the name uncultured bacterium. Its description in RNAcentral is "partial 16S ribosomal RNA". It matches the Rfam family "Bacterial small subunit ribosomal RNA", at positions 29 to 507 of the family's 1533-position model. The record is from RNAcentral.